UCCGCCGUCUCAAUCUCGCUU
RNAcentral lists this non-coding RNA (21 nucleotides) under Arabidopsis thaliana (thale cress). The record is from RNAcentral. Lineage: Eukaryota; Viridiplantae; Streptophyta; Magnoliopsida; Brassicales; Brassicaceae.